RNAcentral lists this ribosomal RNA (253 nucleotides) under uncultured bacterium. RNAcentral's name for it is "partial 16S ribosomal RNA". It matches the Rfam family "Bacterial small subunit ribosomal RNA", at positions 524 to 776 of the family's 1533-position model. The record is from RNAcentral.
UACGUAGGGUGCGAGCGUUAAUCGGAAUUACUGGGCGUAAAGCGUGCGCAGGCGGCGCGUUAAGACAGGUGUGAAAGCCCCGAGCUUAACUUGGGAAUUGCGCUUGUGACUGGCGUGCUGGAGUGUGGCAGAGGGAGGUGGAAUUCCACGUGUAGCAGUGAAAUGCGUAGAGAUGUGGAGGAACACCGAUGGCGAAGGCACUUUACUGGGCUAUUACUAACACUCAGAGACGAAAGCUAGGGUAGCAAAUGGG